GAGUUUGAUCCUGGCUCAGAUUGAACGCUGGCGGCAUGCUUUACACAUGCAAGUCGAACGGCAGCACGGACUUCGGUCUGGUGGCGAGUGGCGAACGGGUGAGUAAUACAUCGGAACGUACCCAGUAAUGGGGGAUAACUAUCCGAAAGGAUAGCUAAUACCGCAUACGCCCUACGGGGGAAAGAGGGGGAUCGCAAGACCUCUUGUUAUUGGAGCGGCCGAUGGCUGAUUAGCUAGUUGGUGAGGUAAAGGCUCACCAAGGCGACGAUCAGUAGCGGGUCUUAGAGGACGAUCCGCCACACUGGAACUGAGACACGGUCCAGACUCCUACGGGAGGCAGCAGUGGGGAAUCUUGGACAAUGGGCGCAAGCCUGAUCCAGCAAUGCCGCGUGCGUGAAGAAGGCC
RNAcentral lists this ribosomal RNA (405 nucleotides) under uncultured beta proteobacterium. Its description in RNAcentral is "bacterial SSU rRNA". It matches the Rfam family "Bacterial small subunit ribosomal RNA", at positions 9 to 416 of the family's 1533-position model. The record is from RNAcentral. Lineage: Bacteria; Pseudomonadati; Pseudomonadota; Betaproteobacteria.